UACCAACACCCCGAGUGGUCUGGACGUUUAUUGGGCCUAAAGCAUCCGUAGCCGGUUCUACAAGUCUUCCGUUAAAUCCACCUGCUUAACAGAUGGGCUGCGGAAGAUACUAUAGAGCUAGGAGGCGGGAGAGGCAAGCGGUACUCGAUGGGUAGGGGUAAAAUCCGUUGAUCCAUUGAAGAACACCAGUGGCGAAGGCGGCUUGCCAGAACGCGCUCGACGGUGAGGGAUGAAAGCUGGGGGAGCAAACCGG
This 253-nucleotide ribosomal RNA is filed under the name uncultured bacterium. RNAcentral's name for it is "partial 16S ribosomal RNA". It matches the Rfam family "Archaeal small subunit ribosomal RNA", at positions 474 to 727 of the family's 1478-position model. The record is from RNAcentral.